This 1459-nucleotide long non-coding RNA is filed under the name Homo sapiens (human). RNAcentral describes it as "HSALNT0242980". Lineage: Eukaryota; Metazoa; Chordata; Mammalia; Primates; Hominidae. The record is from RNAcentral.
UCUCAGGGUGCUGACAAAAUCAAGUGUGUGACCAAGCCCAGAAUGGGGAUACGUUCCAGAAUGCACUCAGCUGCUGCUUCUGUGAAAUGAGAAUUAUAAUGCGAACCAUACCGGAGACCGGGUAGGUUUUCUAAGAGUCCCUCGGGCUUUGCUGUGAGGAAGAAGAGGCAUGAGAAGGCGCCUCUGAGGUGAGCCAGCUUGACCUGACAGCUUCAGAGCCUGUCUUCUGGCUAGGGAGGGAGCUGACACUUCCAUCUGGAGCCAGGAGCAGGAUGUGAGCUCUGCACAAAGAAGAUCCGUCCCUGAAACCCUGCUCCCCGCCUCCUCCACAGCACAGCAGCUGGCUUCCUGGGGAAUCAAGUGACAGCCAGACUCCAGGGAACCGAGCUAGCAAGACCGAAUUCUGGGGGGGUGAUCCACAGUGACAGAAGAGGCUUUGGCGUGGAUAGCUCAGCAGGGCAGCAGGGGCAGGGCCAGUUAACCCACAGAGGGACAGACAGUCUCAGGACUGUGGCCUCCUGCUCUGCUCCAAUGGGCACCGUCAAUUGUCUCAUAAUUCCCUGCUUCUAUUAGCAUUCAGGACCUGAAAAUGACCUUCUUUUGCUGUUUUCCUGACCACAAGGUGGAUUCUGCCCAUCAGGGCCUCCCUUUACCUUGGCACACAAGGGCCUCCAUCCUGGGGCACCCUCCCACCUGCCCCACCCCUCCAACCUAACUACUUGCCAUUUCCCAAAUACAUCGUGCAGUGCCUGGUGUCUAUCCUGUGGUUCAUGCUGCUUCCUCUGCCUGCAAUAUCCUUUCCCUGCAAUAGCCUCUUCCACCCAGCAGACGCCUCCUCACUCUCUUGGCUCAGCUCUAAGUCAUAUCCCCUAGGGAAGCUUACCAGGAUGCUGCAGUCAGAUGGAGUGUCUCCUCCUGGGCCCCCACAGCCCCUGUACUUCCUUCUGUGACAGCAACAAUCCCACAGCAGUGGAACUGCUUACCUGCCUGAGCUCCUGGAGGGCAAAGAUGCCAUGUGCUUCCUAGUUCUGAAUCUCAAGCUCCUAGCACAGAGCAUGGUGGGAAAAAAAAAGUGCUCAACAAAUACAUGCUGAAUUUAACUAAAUUUGGUAGAAGGUUCAUUUUCCCACCAGCUCUCACAGCUCACAGAUUAGGAUUCCACUGGAAUGUAUAUACAUACUAAAUCAUGUGUAUCUAGUUUUUUUUGGGUAGUGGAUUUAUUGAGAUUGAAUUUCUAUAACCAUACAAUUCACCCAUUUAAUUUCAAGUAUACAAUUCAAUGUUGUUUGUACAUUCACAGACUUGUGUAAUUAUAACCACAAUCAAGUUUAGAACAUUUUCAUCUCCUCAAAAAGAAACUCAUACCCAUCAGCAUUCAUUCUCCAUUUACCCCCUUCCCCCAUUCCCUGGUAAUCACUCAUCUAUUUUCUGGUCUCCAUAGAUAUAUCUGUUCUGGACG